CAUUUCACUGUGUUCCACAGUGAAAUGUGAUAAGUAAUGUGAAUUGCAGAAUUCAGUGAAUCAUUGAAUCUUUGAACGCACCUUGCGCCUUUUGGUAAUCCAAGAGGUACACCUGUUUGAGUGUCAU
RNAcentral lists this ribosomal RNA (127 nucleotides) under Tranzschelia discolor. Its description in RNAcentral is "partial 5.8S ribosomal RNA". The stretch from base 16 to 126 matches the Rfam family "5.8S ribosomal RNA", at positions 40 to 154 of the family's 154-position model. Rfam says of the family: 5.8S ribosomal RNA (5.8S rRNA) is a component of the large subunit of the eukaryotic ribosome. It is transcribed by RNA polymerase I as part of the 45S precursor that also contains 18S and 28S rRNA. Functionally, it is thought that 5.8S rRNA may be involved in ribosome translocation. Lineage: Eukaryota; Fungi; Basidiomycota; Pucciniomycetes; Pucciniales; Raveneliaceae. The record is from RNAcentral.